GACGAACGCUGGCGGCGUGCUUAACACAUGCAAGUCGAACGGAAAGGCCCUGCUUUUGUGGGGUGCUCGAGUGGCGAACGGGUGAGUAACACGUGAGUAACCUGCCCUUGACUUUGGGAUAACUUCAGGAAACUGGGGCUAAUACCGGAUAGGAGCUCCUGCUGCAUGGUGGGGGUUGGAAAGUUUCGGCGGUUGGGGAUGGACUCGCGGCUUAUCAGCUUGUUGGUGGGGUAGUGGCUUACCAAGGCUUUGACGGGUAGCCGGCCUGAGAGGGUGACCGGCCACAUUGGGACUGAGAUACGGCCCAGACUCCUCCGGGAGGCAGCAGUGGGGAAUAUUGCACAAUGGGCGGAAGCCUGAUGCAGCAACGCAGCGUGCGGGAUGACGGCCUUCGGGUUGUACACCGCUUUCGCCUGUGACGAAGAGUGAGUGACGGUAAUGGGUAAAGAAGCACCGGCUAACUACGUG
RNAcentral lists this ribosomal RNA (468 nucleotides) under uncultured bacterium. Its description in RNAcentral is "partial 16S ribosomal RNA". It matches the Rfam family "Bacterial small subunit ribosomal RNA", at positions 28 to 507 of the family's 1533-position model. The record is from RNAcentral.